Cloeon dipterum is the source of this 215-nucleotide long non-coding RNA. RefSeq lists it as uncharacterized. The record is from RefSeq and is a predicted model, not a curated record. Lineage: Eukaryota; Metazoa; Arthropoda; Insecta; Ephemeroptera; Baetidae. The transcript has 2 exons.
GACAGAUGACAUCACCGAUGACGACAUGAUUGUUUUAAGCCAACUUGUCCGAGUGUCACUUAUUUUCCUUACGUCCCCGUUCAGUAACGCAGAAAUGGUGCAGUUGAACAAGAUUAGAAUAGAAGAGGAACAAAUGGCUCAACUGGUCGCUCUUGCCUCUGAUCCGAGGAUACUUAAUUUCAACCAACGAAUUCUUCCAAUUUUUUCGAAUCAAU